This 1566-nucleotide long non-coding RNA is filed under the name Ananas comosus (pineapple). Its description in RNAcentral is "long non-coding RNA (ACOM_LNC015337)". Lineage: Eukaryota; Viridiplantae; Streptophyta; Magnoliopsida; Poales; Bromeliaceae. The record is from RNAcentral.
CACUCCUUAUACGAACAUUACACGAAUGAGUUGAAACCGACUCGUUUAUUAACAAACCGAAUACAAAUUGACUAACAAAUAUAUAUAUAUAUAUAUAUAUAGUGUAAGGCUAUUAUGCUAUCGAAAGCACGAAGCCUUUCGUGCUUUCAGCUCGUUUUCGAUAUUGCGACUUUCGAAUCGUCGAUCGGAUCCGUUAAACUUGAUCUAGAGUAUUUGGAGUACCUAAAAAAUAAAUUUUAUUAUUUUUCGAUGUCAUUUGCUUAGUGAUCGAAUGGGCUCAAAAUCAACAAAUUUCAAUGGCCGUAGUGAGUCGUUUGCAAGUUUAACGGUGUAGAAAUAUCCAAAUNAGGGCUUCUAAUAUAAAAACACUAUUUAUUUAGUUGUGAAAAAAAUAUUAUUUAUUUAAUUAUUAUAUAUAUUUAAUAUUAUUAAAUAUAUAUACAUAAAUUAUUAAUUUAAUGUUAAAACAAUUUAAUAUAUUUUUUAUUUAACAUGAAAAUUAAUACGUGCAGCGCACGUGCAUUAACUAGUUAACUUAAAGUGGCGAUUCUACCUUCACCACUAAAUUAGCCACUAUUUAAUUAUUUAUGGUGGCGAUAAAAUAAAUUGUCAUUGUUUGGUUAGCUAUAAUGACAAUAAGAAAAAUUAGCACUAAUUAAUUAAAUUUCAUUUAAUUUUUAAAUUAAAUUAAAUUAAUAUUUUAAUUUAAUUUUAAAAUUACUAAUUUAAUUUUUAAAAAAUUUAAAAAAGACCUCACUUCCCUCAGCUCACCUGCCCUCUCCCCUCCACUUCCUCUCAGCUACUCUAGAAAAAACCCAAACCCCCCGGAAAACCCAUUUCUCCCGCUCCUCUUUGACGAUCUCUCGAUGGCGAGCUCGUCAUGGCGAGCUCCUUGCCGGCGAUCUCGUCACCGGCGAGCUCCUGACCGGCGAGCUCCUCAUCGGCGACAUAGGCGACAAGCUCCUCGCCGAUGAGCUAUGCAACGAGCUCCUCAUUGCUAAUUUUCUUUCCGACGAGCCCUUCUAAACGAAGCUUCUUCUCGUCGAGCUCCUCGCAAGUGAGUCCCUCACCGCCGAUCUCCUCUCCGGUGAACCCUCUCCUUUCGCUCCUCUCUUCCACUCCAAACCCUCACCGCAGAUCUAUAUGCACUUCUCUUUGCUACGAUCGAUCUAGAUUGGUCGAAGGACGAUAAUUUUUUUCAAAUUUGCAUGAAUUUUGCACGUUAGGGUUUUGUUUUCUUUGCCCUUAUUGAUGUUGUGUAUUCUUUGUUUGAUCUCUUGUGAAAAGCACAUUUUGGUGAAAUUGGUCCUUUAUAUUCAUAGUUUUUAUCAGUUAAUACAUGCUUGUAUCUGUCCUAAUUUCGAUUAUUAACAUAUAUGAUGUAAUUUAAAUCUCCUACUCCUUUUCUCCUGCGAGCUGGGAUUUGGAGCAUCAGCAGCAGCGGAAGUGUAGCAGCAACGUAGGGUUUUACCUAAUGUGAGGCUUUCCAAUUGCUAAAUUGGAACUUGUCCAUGGGCUAGUUGAUAGAGGAGAGCUUGGGGAUCAAUUUCUUCUUCUAAAUUUCAG